UACGGGGGGGGCAAGCGUUGUUCGGAAUUACUGGGCGUAAAGGGCUCGUAGGUGGCCAACUAAGUCAGACGUGAAAUCCCUCGGCUUAACCGGGGAACUGCGUCUGAUACUGGAUGGCUUGAGUUCGGGAGAGGGAUGCGGAAUUCCAGGUGUAGCGGUGAAAUGCGUAGAUAUCUGGAGGAACACCGGUGGCGAAGGCGGCAUCCUGGACCGACACUGACACUGAAGCACGAAAGCGUGGGGAGCAAACAGG
This 253-nucleotide ribosomal RNA is filed under the name uncultured bacterium. Its description in RNAcentral is "partial 16S ribosomal RNA". It matches the Rfam family "Bacterial small subunit ribosomal RNA", at positions 524 to 776 of the family's 1533-position model. The record is from RNAcentral.